RNAcentral lists this ribosomal RNA (290 nucleotides) under uncultured bacterium. Its description in RNAcentral is "partial 16S ribosomal RNA". It matches the Rfam family "Bacterial small subunit ribosomal RNA", at positions 550 to 829 of the family's 1533-position model. The record is from RNAcentral.
GGACGGGUGUCGGAUCAUUGGGCGUAAGCGCGUGUAGGCGGCUUGGCAGUCGGGUGUGAAGCCCGGGGCUCAACCCCGGAACUGCACUCGAAACUGCCUCGCUAGAGUCCCGGAGAGGAAGGCAGAAUUCCCGGUGUAGAGGUGAAAUUCGUAGAUAUCGGGAGGAAUACCAGUGGCGAAGGCGGCCUUCUGGACGGCGACUGACGCUGAGACGCGAAAGCGUGGGGAGCAAACAGGAUUAGAUACCCUGGUAGUCCACGCCGUAAACGUUGGGUGCUAGACGUCGGGGG